RNAcentral lists this ribosomal RNA (254 nucleotides) under uncultured bacterium. Its description in RNAcentral is "partial 16S ribosomal RNA". It matches the Rfam family "Bacterial small subunit ribosomal RNA", at positions 524 to 776 of the family's 1533-position model. The record is from RNAcentral.
UACGAAGGGGGGCUAGCGUUGCUCGGAAUCACUGGGCGUAAAGGGUGCGUAGGCGGGUCUUUAAGUCAGGGGUGAAAUCCUGGAGCUCAACUCCAGAACUGCCUUUGAUACUGAGGAUCUUGAGUUCGGGAGAGGUGAGUGGAACUGCGAGUGUAGAGGUGAAAUUCGUAGAUAUUCGCAAGAACACCAGUGGCGAAGGCGAGUCCCUGGACAGAUCCUGACGCUGAGGCACGAAAGCUAGGGGAGCAAACAGG